Molecule: ribosomal RNA, 254 nt
Filed under: uncultured bacterium
Lineage: Bacteria
Description: partial 16S ribosomal RNA
Rfam family: Bacterial small subunit ribosomal RNA
Source: RNAcentral
UACAUGGGGUGCAACCGUUGCUCGGAAUUAUUGGGCGUAAAGGGCGCGUAGGCGGUCAGCACAAGUCAGUUGUGAAAUCUCCGGGCUUAACUCGGAAAGGUCAACUGAUACUGUGCGACUAGAGUGCAGAAGGGGCAACUGGAAUUCUCGGUGUAGCGGUGAAAUGCGUAGAUAUCGAGAGGAACACCUGCGGCGAAGGCGGGUUGCUGGGCUGACACUGACGCUGAGGCGCGAAAGCCAGGGGAGCGAACGGG